UACGAAGGGUGCAAACGUUGCUCGGAAUCAUUGGGCGUAAAGCGCACGUAGGCGGCAUUCUAAGUCGGAUGUGAAAUCCCUCGGCUUAACCGGGGAACUGCGUCUGAUACUGGAUGGCUUGAGUUUGGGAGAGGGAUGCGGAAUUCCAGGUGUAGCGGUGAAAUGCGUAGAUAUCUGGAGGAACACCGGUGGCGAAGGCGGCAUCCUGGACCAACACUGACACUGAGGAGCGAAAGCCAGGGGAGCAAACGGG
RNAcentral lists this ribosomal RNA (253 nucleotides) under uncultured bacterium. RNAcentral's name for it is "partial 16S ribosomal RNA". It matches the Rfam family "Bacterial small subunit ribosomal RNA", at positions 524 to 776 of the family's 1533-position model. The record is from RNAcentral.